RNAcentral lists this ribosomal RNA (490 nucleotides) under uncultured bacterium. Its description in RNAcentral is "partial 16S ribosomal RNA". It matches the Rfam family "Bacterial small subunit ribosomal RNA", at positions 30 to 507 of the family's 1533-position model. The record is from RNAcentral.
AUUGAACGCUGGCGGCAGGCCUAACACAUGCAAGUCGAACGGUAACAGGAAGACGCUUGCUUCUUUGCUGACGAGUGGCGGACGGGUGAGUAAUGUCUGGGAAACUGCCUGAUGGAGGGGGAUAACUACUGGAAACGGUAGCUAAUACCGCAUAACGUCGCAAGACCAAAGAGGGGGACCUUCGGGCCUCUUGCCAUCGGAUGUGCCCAGAUGGGAUUAGCUAGUAGGUGGGUUAACGGCUCACCUAGGCGACGAUCCCUAGCUGGUCUGAGAGGAUGACCAGCCACACUGGAACUGAGACACGGUCCAGACUCCUACGGGAGGCAGCAGUGGGGAAUAUUGCACAAUGGGCGCAAGCCUGAUGCAGCCAUGCCGCGUGUAUGAAGAAGGCCUUCGGGUUGUAAAGUACUUUCAGCGGGGAGGAAGGGAGUAAAGUUAAUACCUUUGCUCAUUGACGUUACCCGCAGAAGAAGCACCGGCUAACUCCGUG